This 377-nucleotide ribosomal RNA is filed under the name uncultured bacterium. RNAcentral's name for it is "bacterial SSU rRNA". It matches the Rfam family "Bacterial small subunit ribosomal RNA", at positions 790 to 1167 of the family's 1533-position model. The record is from RNAcentral.
GUAGUCCCGACCUUAAACGGUGCACACUCGGGGUGGGGCCAUUUCACCGGCCCCGUCCCUUAGCUAACGCGUUAAGUGUGCCGCCUGGGGAGUACGGCCGCAAGGCUAAAACUCAAAGAAAUUGACGGGGGCCCGCACAAGCAGAGGAGCAUGUGGCUUAAUUCGAUGCAACGCGAAGAACCUUACCUGGGCUUGACAUCCAGCUGCACGCCCCGUGAAAGCGGGGCUCCUUCGAGGGUGCUGGACAGGUGCUGCAUGGCUGUCGUCAGUUCGUGCCGUGAGGUGUUUGGUUAAGUCCACCAACGAACGCAACCCCUUAUCCGUGUUGCCAACGGGUCGUGCCGGGAACUCGCGGAUGACUGCUGGUUCACGCCAGA